UGGGGUGCAGCUCAGUGCUAAGCACCCGCCUGGCGCGUGUGAGGUUCUGGGAUCAAUCCCCAGCACCACAG
This 71-nucleotide transfer RNA is filed under the name Marmota monax (woodchuck). RNAcentral's name for it is "tRNA.Ala". The record is from RNAcentral. Lineage: Eukaryota; Metazoa; Chordata; Mammalia; Rodentia; Sciuridae.